CCCUUAGAUGUUCUGGGCCGCACGCGCGCUACACUGAUGCAUUCAACGAGUCUAAAACCUGCUCUGAUAGGGGUGGGUAAUCUUUUGAAUGUGCAUCGUGAUUGGGAUAGAUGAUUGCAAUUUUUCAUCUUCAACGAGGAAUGCCUAGUAAACGCAAGUCAUCAGCUUGCAUUGAUUACGUCCCUGCCCUUUGUACACACCGCCCGUCGCUCCUACCGAUUGAAUGAUCCGAUGAAGAUCAUGGAUUGAGGAUUAUAGCAGGUUCGCCUGUCUUGAUCUUCGAGAAGUGAAGUAAAUCUUAUCAUUUAGAGGAAGGAGAAGUCGUAACA
This 329-nucleotide ribosomal RNA is filed under the name uncultured eukaryote. RNAcentral describes it as "partial 18S ribosomal RNA". It matches the Rfam family "Eukaryotic small subunit ribosomal RNA", at positions 1470 to 1796 of the family's 1831-position model. The record is from RNAcentral.